RNAcentral lists this ribosomal RNA (696 nucleotides) under uncultured bacterium. RNAcentral's name for it is "bacterial SSU rRNA". It matches the Rfam family "Bacterial small subunit ribosomal RNA", at positions 111 to 794 of the family's 1533-position model. The record is from RNAcentral.
UAACACGUAGGGAACCUGCCUGCAUGAGCGGGAGAACUUCUGGAAACGGAAGCUGAUACCGGAUGAGCAAAGAGGAGGCAUCUUCUUUUUGGAAAAGGGGACAAGAGUCCCGCAUGCAGAUGGACCUGCGGUGCAUUAGCUGGUUGGAGAGGUAACGGCUCACCAAGGCGACGAUGCAUAGCCGGCCUGAGAGGGCGGACGGCCACACUGGGACUGAGACACGGCCCAGACUCCUGCGGGAGGCAGCAGUAGGGAAUUUUCGUCAAUGGGGGGAACCCUGAACGAGCAAUGCCGCGUGAGCGAGGAAGGUCUUCGGAUCGUAAAGCUCUGUUGCCGGGGACAAAAGGCAGAAAGAGUGGAAAGCUUUCUGAGUGAUGGUACCCGGCGAGGAAGUCACGGCUAACUACGUGCCAGCAGCCGCGGUAAUACGUAGGUGGCGAGCGUUAUCCGGAAUGAUUGGGCGUAAAGGGUGCGCAGGCGGCCGGGCAAGUCCGCAGUAAAAACUGGAGGCUCAACCUUCAGGGGCUGCGGAAACUGUCCGGCUGGAGAGCAGGAGAGGACGGUGGAACUCCAUGUGUAGCGGUAAAAUGCGUAGAUAUAUGGAAGAACACCGGUGGCGAAGGCGGCCGUCUGGCCUGCAUCUGACGCUGAGGCACGAAAGCGUGGGGAGCAAAUAGGAUUAGAUACCCUAGUAGU